GCCGGUGUAGCUCAGUUGGUAGAGCGCAUCCUUGGUAGGGAUGAGGUCACCGGUUCAAAUCCGGUCAUUGGCUCAA
RNAcentral lists this transfer RNA (76 nucleotides) under Wenyingzhuangia fucanilytica. Its description in RNAcentral is "tRNA-Thr". It matches the Rfam family "tRNA". From Rfam's summary of the family: Transfer RNA (tRNA) molecules are approximately 80 nucleotides in length. Their secondary structure includes four short double-helical elements and three loops (D, anti-codon, and T loops). Lineage: Bacteria; Pseudomonadati; Bacteroidota; Flavobacteriia; Flavobacteriales; Flavobacteriaceae. The record is from RNAcentral.